GAUGAACGCUGGCGGCGUGCCUAAUACAUGCAAGUCGAGCGAACGGACGAGAAGCUUGCUUCUCUGAUGUUAGCGGCGGACGGGUGAGUAACACGUGGAUAACCUACCUAUAAGACUGGGAUAACUUCGGGAAACCGUAGCUAAUACCGGAUAAUAUUUUGAACCGCAUGGUUCAAAAGUGAGAGACGGUCUUGCUGUCACUUAUAGAUGGAUCCGCGCUGCAUUAGCUAGUUGGUAAGGUAACGGCUUACCAAGGCAACGAUGCAUAGCCGACCUGAGAGGGUGAUCGGCCACACUGGAACUGAGACACGGUCCAGACUCCUACGGGAGGCAGCAGUAGGGAAUCUUCCGCAAAGGGCGAAAGCCUGACGGAGCAACGCCGCGUGAGUGAUGAAGGUCUUCGGAUCGUAAAACUCUGUUAUUAGGGAAGAACAUAUGUGUAAGUAACUGUGCACAUCUUGACGGUACCUAAUCAGAAAGCCACGGCUAACUACGUG
This 497-nucleotide ribosomal RNA is filed under the name uncultured bacterium. RNAcentral describes it as "partial 16S ribosomal RNA". It matches the Rfam family "Bacterial small subunit ribosomal RNA", at positions 28 to 507 of the family's 1533-position model. The record is from RNAcentral.